GUAACUUUUGAUCGUUUCGUUCGUGCCAAGCACAAGCAGCCACCGCACAACACACACACACACACAGAGGCUGGCCGAGUUGCUGCUAUUUUUUGUCGCCAAAAAAAAUGAAAUGACGUCAAGGUGGGUAUCCUGAUGUGUCGUGUCAAUAGUUAAGUGUAUUUGCCAUUUUUUAUAUAAAAUAGCAAAGCUCAAUAAGAUUAAAUGGAAACAAUCGAUUCGCAAGGGUAUCUAAAGCUUCGGCCCCGAACUUAGUAUUGUUCUUAUUUGAUAUUGAAAUAAAUCAAUUAAAAUGUUUUUGGGAAACUGA
Molecule: long non-coding RNA, 310 nt
Organism: Drosophila pseudoobscura
Lineage: Eukaryota; Metazoa; Arthropoda; Insecta; Diptera; Drosophilidae
Exons: 2
Source: RefSeq, a predicted model, not a curated record